UAAGUAAGUCAGAUAAUCGCAGGUAGCAUUAGCUACGUGAGGAAAGUCGGAGCUCCAUAGAGCAGGGUGCUAGGUAACGCCUAGUGGGAGUGAUCCUAAGGAAAGUGCAACAGAAAAUUACCGCCAAGAAUUUUCUUGGUAAGGAUGAAAAGGCGAGGUAAGAGCUCACCGUUUCUCAGGUGACUGAGAAAGCCGUGUAAACCCCACCUGGAGCAAGACCAAAAUAGGGCUAAAAGAGUGUUGCUCGCACUCUCCGGUAGGUAGGUCGCUUGAGCAUAUUGGUGACAAUAUGCCUAGAUAGAUGAUUAUCAAAUACAGAACUCCGCUUAUAGAUUUGCUUGAUUA
Non-coding RNA from Terrisporobacter sp., 345 nucleotides. It matches the Rfam family "Bacterial RNase P class A". Rfam says of the family: Ribonuclease P (RNase P) is a ubiquitous endoribonuclease, found in archaea, bacteria and eukarya as well as chloroplasts and mitochondria. Its best characterised activity is the generation of mature 5'-ends of tRNAs by cleaving the 5'-leader elements of precursor-tRNAs. The record is from Rfam. Lineage: Bacteria; Bacillati; Bacillota; Clostridia; Peptostreptococcales; Peptostreptococcaceae.